This 458-nucleotide ribosomal RNA is filed under the name uncultured bacterium. RNAcentral's name for it is "bacterial SSU rRNA". It matches the Rfam family "Bacterial small subunit ribosomal RNA", at positions 917 to 1382 of the family's 1533-position model. The record is from RNAcentral.
GAGCCCGCACAAGCAGUGGAGCAUGUGGUUUAAUUCGAAGAUACGCGAAGAACCUUACCAGGGCUUGACAUACCGAUUAACAGUCUAGAGAUAGAUGAAUAUACGUCGGAUACAGGUGGUGCAUGGUUGUCGUCAGCUCGUGUCGUGAGAUGUUAGGUUAAGUCCUCCAACGAGCGCAACCCUUGUCCUUAGUUACCAUCAUUAAGUUGGGGACUCUAAGGAGACCGCCGGUGUAAACCGGAGGAAGGUGGGGAUGACGUCAAAUCAUCAUGCCCUUUAUGUCCUGGGCGACACACGUGCUACAAUGGUCGGAACAAAGAGCUGCAAACCCGCGAGGGUAAGCGAAUCUCAGAAAGCCGAUCUCAGUUCGGAUAGGAGUCUGCAACUCGACUCCUUCAAGCCGGAAUUGCUAGUAAUCGCAGAUCAGCCAUGCUGCGGUGAAUACGUUCCCGGGCUUU